This 207-nucleotide long non-coding RNA is filed under the name Gossypium barbadense (sea-island cotton). RNAcentral describes it as "long non-coding RNA (GBAR_LNC005557)". Lineage: Eukaryota; Viridiplantae; Streptophyta; Magnoliopsida; Malvales; Malvaceae. The record is from RNAcentral.
CCACUUUUUUUUAUUUUACCCUCUAAACCUCAUCCUUUAAACCACUAAUUUCCAUUCUUUUCACCACCACUUGAUAUCAUUCUCCACAACCAAACCACCAUUUCACUGCCGUUGAACCACCAUCACACCACCGCCAUUAGUCACCGUUUUUCAUUGAUUUUCAUUUUCUCUUCACUUCUUUAGUGAUAAUUGUUCUACUAAUCCUCC